GAAUUUUAUAUUAAAAUAUUUUGGGUUAGUUUAAUUUAAAUAUUUAGUAUUUAGUUGGGAGGAUUAUUAAAUUUAAAAAACUUUAAUAUUUAAUUACAUAGAUUAAUGAAUUAUAUAAAUAAAGAUUGAUUUUAAAAUGAAUAAAGAGUAAAUUACCUUAGGGAUAACAGCGUAAUAUUUUUAGAGAGAUCAUAUUAAUAAAAAUUAUUGC
This 211-nucleotide ribosomal RNA is filed under the name Apterostigma pilosum. RNAcentral describes it as "partial large subunit ribosomal RNA". Lineage: Eukaryota; Metazoa; Arthropoda; Insecta; Hymenoptera; Formicidae. The record is from RNAcentral.